GCACACUACAACCACUGGUAUGUAUUCCCAUCGAAAGUUUCUAGCCUCUCACCUAUGCUCGACAUUUUAUUUUUACAGAUUUAAGCAAAAAUCAACACCCAAAACAAAAACUGGUUUCAACAAAAUCAAAACAAGAUCUAAAGCUUUUGAUGUAGUACCUUAACAUAUACAUUCAUGUAAAUACCCAAACUCAAUCUUAUCUAGACUAAUUGGCUAAAGCCCAAAGUUAGCCAUCAUUACAAACCAAACUUAAAACUGAAACAGGAAAGAUUCAAACGUAGCGAAAGAAAUUAAGCUAAUUAUAGAGUCUAAUGAAUUUCAGAAACAUAUGAAGCAAACUUUAAUAAACUAGUAUGACAUAGAUUGCAGCUCAAUUCAAAUAACUUUGUGUUCUUCCAUUUCACAUAUCAAUGGGGAUAAGCAAUACCUGGUUACAACAGCAAAACCAACAGGAAAAAUUAGCUGGGGGUAAACAGAAGCAGCAGCAGUAGUAAGCUCAUGUAAAGAGGAAACAAUAGUAGAAUCAGCUUGAAAAUCAGCAACAGAACAGUGGUGAAACCUAGCAACUCAAACCACUUUUGAACCCCAAAUUCAAAGCAUUUUCUAACCAGGUGCAAGAGAUUGAAACGUUCUCAGAAUUUUAAACUAACAAAAGGAUGAGGGGACUGAAAUCGAGUGGAAUGUGAGCAAAUUUUAGCAAAGGAAAUGCAGAGUUUUCAGUGUCAUUUCAGAGUUCCACUCAGUACUCAGCCAUUUCAAUUUUUGGAUUUUUGGUCUCUCCCCUCUUUUUCUUGCUAAUGAAGAAAGGAUGCCUUUAUAGGCAAGUCUUUAAGGCAGCAUAAAGAAAUCAAUUUUUUGCACUUAAAACCUUUUGAAAUCUCAUUUUUUCUUUGAUACCUUUAGCUUAAGACUCAGAAUUUUAGAUAAGCCCCAAUCCUACCUUUCAGGAGGUUUCCCUAGUUAAUUAUAGAAGAUUCCCCCUGAUUAAAUUCCUAGACUAACCUUUAAAACUCUGUUAUUUACCCUUAAGACCAAACGGGGUCAAAUUGACCCAAGACUCAAUCCUAAACUUGGGCCAACGGACGGGCUUCAAAAUUUGGACCUUCAUUCAAUGGGCUUGUACUGAUAAACCCCAAAUCUAGUCCAAACAAACUAAACAAACAAAACAUUAGAGAAAAGAAAUGGCAAAUCCAAUCCGGGAUUGAAACGGUAUAUAUAAUUAUUCUUUUUUCUUUUCUUUUUUUUUUGAAUAAAACACUUUAAAGGAAAAAUGCAAAUUAACACUAAAUUACUGACUGACAAAUCUAAUUUAGUCUACAAAAUGAGAAGAAGUUUAUGACUAACAAUUAAACUUAAAGAAGAAAGGAACAAGAAAAUACCAGUAGAAUCCAAUUAAACUUCAAAAUCUUAAAGAACAAAGAUGACUCGAACUCGAACUCCGGUGAAUCCAAAAGCUCGACCAAACAGUGAGAAUUGCAACACAAAUAUUAGCCGACCUUACGUUCAUGGCUAAUGAUUCGUGCAGCAAUCGUCAACGUGUGCCAAAAGAAGUGAAACAAAGGCUCGAAAAGAUGGAAACGCUAAGGAACUAUUUUUCCGAAACUUGACCAAAUCUACAGGAAGGUCUUCUUGAUGUUCAAACAAAGCUAUUUUGUUGAAGAAGCUGGGUAAUUCACGAGGUUUUGCUACGGAUUGAAGUUUGAUCCUAAAUGUUUGGGAAAAGGAGGAAAAGUUUGGAUUUUUUAUUUUUUGAUCUGCAAUUCAGAGAAAUUGGGAGGUCUUUUGGGGAAAUCAAAGGUAGGACAAGAAUGAGGAGAUGGUGGGGAUUAGCUGGUUAAAAUUUGGAGGGAUUUGGAGGUGCUCCGCCGCUGAGAGGCGAUUUCCGGGCGGCGGAGAUACGGCGGAGUGAGCGGUGAUUUGAGAGAGAAGAAGGGGAUUAGGUUUUUGACUUAAUUAG
This 1957-nucleotide long non-coding RNA is filed under the name Nicotiana tabacum (common tobacco). RNAcentral's name for it is "long non-coding RNA (NTAB_LNC012753)". The record is from RNAcentral. Lineage: Eukaryota; Viridiplantae; Streptophyta; Magnoliopsida; Solanales; Solanaceae.